This is a small nuclear RNA of Pipistrellus kuhlii (Kuhl's pipistrelle), 103 nucleotides long. NCBI's taxonomy places the organism in Eukaryota, Metazoa, Chordata, Mammalia, Chiroptera, Vespertilionidae. The record is from RefSeq and is a predicted model, not a curated record.
GUGCUCACUUUGGCAGCAUAUAUACUAAAAUUGGAACAAUCCAGAGAUUAUCAUGGCCUUAUGCAAAGAUGACACUCAAAUUCGUGAAGCAUUCCAUAUUUUG